RNAcentral lists this ribosomal RNA (252 nucleotides) under uncultured bacterium. RNAcentral's name for it is "partial 16S ribosomal RNA". It matches the Rfam family "Bacterial small subunit ribosomal RNA", at positions 524 to 776 of the family's 1533-position model. The record is from RNAcentral.
UACGGAGGAUGCGAGCGUUAUCCGGAUUUAUUGGGUUUAAAGGGUGCGUAGGCGGGCUUUUAAGUCGGCGGUAAAAGUUCGGGGCUCAACCCCGUCCGGCCGUUGAAACUGGCGUUCUUGAGUGGGCGAGAAGUAUGCGGAAUGCGUGGUGUAGCGGUGAAAUGCAUAGAUAUCACGCAGAACUCCGAUUGCGAAGGCAGCAUACCGGCGCCCUACUGACGCUGAGGCACGAAAGCGUGGGUAUCGAACAGG